This 910-nucleotide ribosomal RNA is filed under the name uncultured bacterium. RNAcentral describes it as "bacterial SSU rRNA". It matches the Rfam family "Bacterial small subunit ribosomal RNA", at positions 33 to 934 of the family's 1533-position model. The record is from RNAcentral.
ACGCUGGCGGCAGGCUUAACACAUGCAAGUCGAACGGUAACAGGAAUUAGCUUGCUAAUUUGCUGACGAGUGGCGGACGGGUGAGUAAUGCUUGGGAAUCUGGCUUAUGGAGGGGGAUAACUACGGGAAACUGUAGCUAAUACCGCGUAAAAUCUUCGGAUUAAAGGGUGGGACUUUCGAGCCACCUGCCAUAAGAUGAGCCCAAGUGGGAUUAGGUAGUUGGUUAGGUAAAGGCUGACCAAGCCGACGAUCUCUAGCUGGUCUGAGAGGAUGACCAGCCACACUGGAUCUGAGACACGGUCCAGACUCCUACGGGAGGCAGCAGUGGGGAAUAUUGCACAAUGGGGGGAACCCUGAUGCAGCCAUGCCGCGUGAAUGAAGAAGGCCUUCGGGUUGUAAAGUUCUUUCGGUGACGAGGAAGGUUGAUAGGUUAAUAGCCUAUCAAAUUGACGUUAAUCACAGAAGAAGCACCGGCUAACUCCGUGCCAGCAGCCGCGGUAAUACGGGGGGUGCGAGCGUUAAUCGGAAUAACUGGGCGUAAAGGGCACGCAGGCGGUGACUUAAGUGAGAUGUGAAAGCCCCGAGCUUAACUUGGGAAUUGCAUUUCAUACUGGGUCGCUAGAGUACUUUAGGGAGGGGUAGAAUUCCACGUGUAGCGGUGAAAUGCGUAGAGAUGUGGAGGAAUACCGAAGGCGAAGGCAGCCCCUUGGGAAUGUACUGACGCUCAUGUGCGAAAGCGUGGGGAGCAAACAGGAUUAGAUACCCUGGUAGUCCACGCUGUAAACGAUGUCGAUUUGGGGAUUGGGCUUUGAGCUUGGUGCCCGUAGCUAACGUGAUAAAUCGACCGCCUGGGGAGUACGGCCGCAAGGUUAAAACUCAAAUGAAUUGACGGGGGCCCGCACAAGCGGUG